GCUAAUACCGCAUAAGCCCACGGGUCGGCAUCGACCAGAGGGAAAAGGNGCAAUCCGCUUUGAGAUGGCCUCGCGUCCGAUUAGCUAGUUGGUGAGGUAAUGGCCCACCAAGGCGACGAUCGGUAGCCGGACUGAGAGGUUGAACGGCCACAUUGGGACUGAGACACGGCCCAGACUCCUACGGGAGGCAGCAGUGGGGAAUAUUGCACAAUGGAGGAAACUCUGAUGCAGCGACGCCGCGUGAGCGAAGAAGUAUUUCGGUAUGUAAAGCUCUGUCAGCAGGGAAGAUAAUGACGGUACCUGACCAAGAAGCCCCGGCUAACUACGUG
RNAcentral lists this ribosomal RNA (329 nucleotides) under uncultured bacterium. Its description in RNAcentral is "bacterial SSU rRNA". It matches the Rfam family "Bacterial small subunit ribosomal RNA", at positions 162 to 507 of the family's 1533-position model. The record is from RNAcentral.